AGGAGGAAAAACCACGGUGGCGGGGCCAGCUCUGGAGCCCUGGAGUCAGCCCCCGCAGGAACUCCAGAGCUCUCCGUCUGCAGGGCCUGGAGGCUCCGGGCGGGG
Molecule: non-coding RNA, 105 nt
Organism: Canis lupus familiaris (dog)
Lineage: Eukaryota; Metazoa; Chordata; Mammalia; Carnivora; Canidae
Source: Rfam